RNAcentral lists this transfer RNA (85 nucleotides) under Candidatus Dormiibacterota bacterium. RNAcentral's name for it is "tRNA-Leu". It matches the Rfam family "tRNA". Rfam says of the family: Transfer RNA (tRNA) molecules are approximately 80 nucleotides in length. Their secondary structure includes four short double-helical elements and three loops (D, anti-codon, and T loops). Lineage: Bacteria; Bacillati; Candidatus Dormiibacterota. The record is from RNAcentral.
GUCGGCGUGGCGGAACGGUAGACGCGCCAGACUUAGGAUCUGGUGGGCAACCCCCGUGGAGGUUCGAAUCCUCUCGCCGACACCA